This 391-nucleotide long non-coding RNA is filed under the name Homo sapiens (human). Its description in RNAcentral is "HSALNT0064817". Lineage: Eukaryota; Metazoa; Chordata; Mammalia; Primates; Hominidae. The record is from RNAcentral.
UAGAGAUGGGGUCUUGAUAUGUUGCUCAGGCUGGAGUGUAGUAUGCCAUGGUCCAGUAGCGUGACCAUAGCACACUACAGUCAAGAACUACUGGACUCAAGAGAUUCUCCCACCUCAGCCUCCCAAGCAGCCGGGACUACAGAGGCACACAACCAUACCUGGCUGUUCAUGGAUUAUUAACAGUGGUAAUUCUGAAUACAAAAAUCUUGGAUGAUUGGCCUUUGGUUUGCCACUGCUCAUCUGGUGAAAGCAUUUUCCCCAUUAGGAUAAGCAGGUUUGCCAUUACCUGAGGGUAUGCAGCACAACUUUACUGUCUUACUCAAGGUCAAGUUCAUCAUCUUCAGCUCUUUAUCACCAAGAAUGAGGAACUCAGCCAGGCACGGUGGCUCAU